GUACACGCUGUGACUAGCAUAUCAAUAAGCGGAGGAAAAGAAACUAACAAGGAUUCCCCUAGUAACGGCGAGUGAAGCGGGAAGAGCUCAAAUUUGAAAUCUUGAAAGGUCACCUUUCACGAAUUGUAGUUUAAAGAAGUGAUUUCUGUUGAAGUUUUGGUAAAAGUUCUUUGGAAUAGGACAUCAUAGAGGGUGAGAAUCCCGUAUUUGACCUUUACUUUCAACUUUGUGAUACACUUUCAAAGAGUCGGAUUGUUUGGGAAUGCAGUCCAAAAUGGGUGGUAAAUUUCAUCUAAAGCUAAAUAUUGGCGAGAGACCGAUAGCGAACAAGUACCGUGAGGGAAAGAUGAAAAGAACUUUGAAAAGAGAGUUAAACAGUACGUGAAAUUGUCAAAAGGGAAGCGUUUGACACCAGUGUUGUUUUUCUGAAAAUCAAUUAAAGAACUGUUUAUGCUAAGUUGUUUAGACUUUAUCAGCUAUCUGUUUAGUUUUGAGCUUUUCUUUAAUGCACUUUUCAGUUAACAAGUCAACAUCAAUUUCUUUUGCUGUAAAAAAGCUUGAGGAAGGUGGCUUGAGAUUCGUCUUAAGUGUUUAUAGCCUCUUGCCUAUGCAGUCGGAGAGAUUGAGGUCUGCAGCGUAGAUCCUUCGGGGCUAAAUGCAUUUGUGCUAAGUUAUAGCUUUUUAUAGACAACUUGUUGACUAUAAUUAGUCUUGUAGCUUACUCGCUUAUGCUAUUUUACCUACGCUUAGGAUGUUGACGCAUGAGAUAUACGC
Molecule: ribosomal RNA, 774 nt
Filed under: uncultured Neocallimastigales
Lineage: Eukaryota; Fungi; Neocallimastigomycota; Neocallimastigomycetes; Neocallimastigales
Description: partial large subunit ribosomal RNA
Rfam family: Eukaryotic large subunit ribosomal RNA
Source: RNAcentral